CUUAUCUUGAUGUUUCCAGCAUUCAAAAUAGCAGACUUUUUGAUGUAAUAUUCUGAUAAAUUCUCUGGAAACUAUUAAAACACAACUACAGAAAUGUAUUCUCAUAGUUUCCAGACAAUUUAUGAGAAUAUUACAUCAAAAAGUCUGCCAUUUUGAAUGCUGGAAACAUCAAGAUAAGAUAGAAGCAACAACAACAACAAAGUCAAGAGCUGAGUUGAAGAAACCUUUGUGCCAUGGGAUGCUUGGCUUGUGAGAGUUCGUCAGGCUUUAAAACUUCAACAACUUCUCCAUUUACAAGGAGGCAAACCACAUCAGCAAUUCUUUGGAUCUGCUUGAUGCUGUGAGAGACCAUCACAAUUGUCAUUCCCUGGGUCUUCUUCAGUUUCACAAUAACAUCCUCUAUGUUUUGUGUUGAUAUUGGAUCCAAUGCACUCGUUGGUUCAUCUAGUAGCAAAACCUCUGGUUCAUUGGCUAGGGUCCUAGCAAGUGCAACCCUUUGAGCUUGACCUACAGAUAAUUCGUUACCAUUCUUCUUGUGGAAGGAAGAAUCAAGGUCAGCAAGGGCAAGCAACUUGUGAACCUCAUGGUCAGGAAGCUUUUGCCCCCUCAAUUGUGGUCCAAACCGUAUGUUAUCGGCGACUGUGCCUUCAAACAGAGCCGGAAUCUGGAAGAGCAUUCCAACCUUACGGCGGAGGCUGAGAACAUCAAGAUCCCGAAUAUCAUGGCCAUCAAGAAACACGGUACCGGACGGUGGCUCCCAGAGGCGGUUCAUCGACCUCAAGAGCGUAGAUUUGCCACUACCGCUGGGGCCUAUGAUCCCAACAACGACGCCCUUGGGUAUGUCCAAGUUGACUCCCGAGAGAAUAGUUACUCCGGCAUCGGAUUUCUUGGUCAAAUCACGUAUUCGAAACUUGUUUUGAGGAUCAUCUCCACCUGCUUCAAUAUCCCCCACAGCCAACAGAUGCUCUUGACGAUCAUCAGCCGGAGAGGCCUGAGCUCGGAAGAACGAACCCAUAGGAGAAGGACUGGUAAGCAGAGGAGAAGCAGAGCUCAUAGCUGUUAUGCGAGAAAAAACCAGAAAUACCUUCCCCUGAUGGUUACUGCACCAGUCACCACAUGACGCUUCAAGAUUCUACAUGAUUCCUUCUUCCAUUUUCU
Molecule: unclassified non-coding RNA, 1158 nt
Filed under: Hevea brasiliensis (rubber tree)
Lineage: Eukaryota; Viridiplantae; Streptophyta; Magnoliopsida; Malpighiales; Euphorbiaceae
Source: RNAcentral